CCUACGGGAGGCAGCAGUGGGGAAUAUUGGACAAUGGGGGGAACCCUGAUCCAGCCAUGCCGCGUGUGUGAAGAAGGCCCUCGGGUUGUAAAGCACUUUCAGUGAGGAAGAACGCCUGGUGGUUAAUACCCAUCAGGAAAGACAUCACUCACAGAAGAAGCACCGGCUAACUCCGUGCCAGCAGCCGCGGUAAUACGGAGGGUGCGAGCGUUAAUCGGAAUUACUGGGCGUAAAGCGCGCGUAGGUGGCUUGAUAAGCCGGUUGUGAAAGCCCCGGGCGCAACCUGGGAACGGCAUCCGGAACUGUCAAGCUAGAGUGCAGGAGAGGAAGGUAGAAUUCCCGGUGUAGCGGUGAAAUGCGUAGAGAUCGGGAGGAAUACCAGUGGCGAAGGCGGCCUUCUGGACUGACACUGACACUGAGGUGCGAAAGCGUGGGUAGCAAACAGGAUUAGAUACCCUGGUAGUC
This 465-nucleotide ribosomal RNA is filed under the name Vreelandella stevensii. RNAcentral's name for it is "partial 16S ribosomal RNA". It matches the Rfam family "Bacterial small subunit ribosomal RNA", at positions 338 to 795 of the family's 1533-position model. The record is from RNAcentral. Lineage: Bacteria; Pseudomonadati; Pseudomonadota; Gammaproteobacteria; Oceanospirillales; Halomonadaceae.